This 489-nucleotide ribosomal RNA is filed under the name uncultured bacterium. RNAcentral's name for it is "bacterial SSU rRNA". It matches the Rfam family "Bacterial small subunit ribosomal RNA", at positions 26 to 507 of the family's 1533-position model. The record is from RNAcentral.
AGGAUGAACGCUAGCGGCAGGCCUAACACAUGCAAGUCGAGGGGCAUCGCGGUGCAGCAAUGCACUGGCGGCGACCGGCGUACGGGUGCGUAACGCGUAUGCAACCUGCCCCGCACCGGGGGAUAGCCCGCCGAAAGGCGGAUUAAUACCCCAUGGUCCCGGGGGCCCGCAUGGGCAUCCGGGUAAAGCCUUGGCGGUGCGGGAUGGGCAUGCGUGCCAUUAGCUGGCUGGUGGGGUAACGGCCCACCAGGGCAACGAUGGCUAGGGGGUCUGAGAGGAUGGUCCCCCACACUGGUACUGAGACACGGACCAGACUCCUACGGGAGGCAGCAGUGAGGAAUAUUGGUCAAUGGGCGGAAGCCUGAACCAGCCAUGCCGCGUGCGGGAUGAAGGCCCUACGGGUUGUAAACCGCUUUUCCCCGGGAAGAAUAACCCCGAUGAGUCGGGGGAUGCCGGUACCGGGGGAAUAAGGAUCGGCUAACCUCCGUG